UGGGGAAUAUUGGACAAUGGGCGAAAGCCUGAUCCAGCCAUGCCGCGUGAGUGAUGAAGGCCCUAGGGUUGUAAAGCUCUUCACCGGUGAAGAUAAUGACGGUAACCGGAGAAGAAGCCCCGGCUAACUUCGUGCCAGCAGCCGCGGUAAUACGUAGGGUGCAAGCGUUGUCCGGAAUUAUUGGGCGUAAAGAGCUCGUAGGCGGUCUGUCGCGUCGGCUGUGAAAACUCGGGGCUCAACUCCGAGCUUGCAGUCGAUACGGGCAGGCUAGAGUUCGGCAGGGGAGACUGGAAUUCCUGGUGUAGCGGUGAAAUGCGCAGAUAUCAGGAGGAACACCGGUGGCGAAGGCGGGUCUCUGGGCCGAUACUGACGCUGAGGAGCGAAAGCGUGGGGAGCGAACAGGAUUAGAUACC
RNAcentral lists this ribosomal RNA (413 nucleotides) under uncultured bacterium. Its description in RNAcentral is "bacterial SSU rRNA". It matches the Rfam family "Bacterial small subunit ribosomal RNA", at positions 355 to 786 of the family's 1533-position model. The record is from RNAcentral.